Molecule: ribosomal RNA, 648 nt
Filed under: uncultured bacterium
Lineage: Bacteria
Description: bacterial SSU rRNA
Rfam family: Bacterial small subunit ribosomal RNA
Source: RNAcentral
GACGCUGAGGCUCGCAAGCGUGGGGAGCGAACAGGAUUAGAUACCCUGGUAGUCCACGCCGUAAACGAUGAGUGCUAAGUGUUGGAGGGUUUCCGCCCUUCAGUGCUGCAGCAAACGCAUUAAGCACUCCGCCUGGGGAGUACGACCGCAAGGUUGAAACUCAAAGGAAUUGACGGGGGCCCGCACAAGCGGUGGAGCAUGUGGUUUAAUUCGAAGCAACGCGAAGAACCUUACCAGGUCUUGACAUCCUUUGACCACUCUAGAGAUAGAGCUUCCCCUUCGGGGGCAAAGUGACAGGUGGUGCAUGGUUGUCGUCAGCUCGUGUCGUGAGAUGUUGGGUUAAGUCCCGCAACGAGCGCAACCCUUAUUGUUAGUUGCCAUCAUUUAGUUGGGCACUCUAGCGAGACUGCCGGUGACAAACCGGAGGAAGGUGGGGAUGACGUCAAAUCAUCAUGCCCCUUAUGACCUGGGCUACACACGUGCUACAAUGGGAAGUACAACGAGUUGCGAAGUCGCGAGGCUAAGCUAAUCUCUUAAAGCUUCUCUCAGUUCGGAUUGUAGGCUGCAACUCGCCUACAUGAAGCCGGAAUCGCUAGUAAUCGCGGAUCAGCACGCCGCGGUGAAUACGUUCCCGGGCCUUGCACACAC